GAUGAACGCUAGCUACAGGCUUAACACAUGCAAGUCGCGGGGCAGCAUGGGGGUUGCUUGCAACCCCUGAUGGCGACCGGCGCACGGGUGAGUAACGCGUAUCCAACCUGCCCUUCACCACCGGCUAACCCGGCGAAAGUCGGACUAAUACCGUAUGUUGUCCAUUGACGGCAUCCGAUUGGGACGAAAGGCUGGGCGGUGGAAGGCGAGGGAUUCGUCCGAUUAGGUUGACGGCGGGGUAACGGCCCACCGUGGCUACGAUCGGUAGGGGUUCUGAGAGGAAGGUCCCCCACACUGGAUCUUAGACACAGUCCAGACUCCUACGGGAGGCAGCAGUGAGGAAUAUUGGUCAAUGGGCGUUAACCUGAACCAGCCAAGUAGCGUGCAGGCUGACGGCCCUGUGGGUUGUAAACUGCUUUUAUGCGGGGAUAAAGUGGCCCACGUGUGAGCUUUUGCAGGUACCGCAUGAAUAAGGACCGGCUAAUUCCGUG
RNAcentral lists this ribosomal RNA (491 nucleotides) under uncultured bacterium. Its description in RNAcentral is "partial 16S ribosomal RNA". It matches the Rfam family "Bacterial small subunit ribosomal RNA", at positions 28 to 507 of the family's 1533-position model. The record is from RNAcentral.